CGGGCUGGGCCCUCUUCCUCCCACAGCUCUGGGGUCCUGUGCCCCGAAGAGCUUCCUUCCUCCUUCCACACGCCUCCCAGUGCCUCCCAGGAUUGCAACUUGGCGGAACUGAGCAGGGAGAAGCAGCAGCUUCAAGGACGCUCCUCAGCGUGGAACGAGAAACAAUGUCACCCUCGGAGAGGAGUGUACCUCUCAGCCCACUGGCCAGCACUCCAUGUUCCUCCCUUUAGGAAAGACCCAGCUUCCACUGGCCUAGUGUGUGUGCACACACGUGUGCCUUCUGGUCAUUGCUCCAGAACACGAGGAGGGAAGAAACAGAAAAUCAUCAAAGAGGAAAAUUAACGGCUGGAGAGGGCAUUGUUAACCCUUAUGGCUUGGCUCACCUGGCUUUCCACCCCGCAGCUCCGCGUGCACCCGCCAAAGCGGCUGAGUCUUUUUAUGACUACAACUCCAAGAAGGGAAAAAAGACGCGAAAAGAAGAGGGGGGGAAAAAACCAAACCAGGAGGCAGAGGAGAAAAAAGCAAAAGAAAAGAGAAAGAGAAUUAAACCAUUAAUCUGCCUGGAUUUUCCACUUCACAGAGUAAUCAGUUUGGAAGUGACUGAAAUAAAGUGGAAUGUACGAUUCCCACCAUCUCCUCCCUCCAGUCCACAUUUCUUAUUUACAGAAAAACGGGGAGCCAGAGAGGCGGCCUCCUUGCCCCCCACAAAGGCCUCCAGUGUCCGCUCGAGACGAGGACAAGGACCCCAGCCCUCAGCCGCAGCUGCCCGAUGCCUCGACACCCGGGCGACGGCCGCCCUGAGCUGGAGGUGCAA
Molecule: long non-coding RNA, 814 nt
Filed under: Equus caballus (horse)
Lineage: Eukaryota; Metazoa; Chordata; Mammalia; Perissodactyla; Equidae
Description: lncRNA (ENSECAG00000052418.1)
Source: RNAcentral